This 736-nucleotide ribosomal RNA is filed under the name Streptomyces sp. RNAcentral describes it as "bacterial SSU rRNA". It matches the Rfam family "Bacterial small subunit ribosomal RNA", at positions 60 to 809 of the family's 1533-position model. Lineage: Bacteria; Bacillati; Actinomycetota; Actinomycetes; Kitasatosporales; Streptomycetaceae. The record is from RNAcentral.
AGUCGAACGAUGAAGCCNCUUCGGUGGUGGAUUAGUGGCGAACGGGUGAGUNAACACGUGGGCAAUCUGCCCUUCACUCUGGGACAAGCCCUGGAAACGGGGUCUAAUACCGGAUACCACUCCUGCCUGCAUGGGCGGGGGUUGAAAGCUCCGGCGGUGAAGGAUGAGCCCGCGGCCUAUCAGCUUGUUGGUGGGGUAAUGGCCCACCAAGGCGACGACGGGUAGCCGGCCUGAGAGGGCGACCGGCCACACUGGGACUGAGACACGGCCCAGACUGAUACGGGAGGCAGCAGUGGGGAAUAUUGCACAAUGGGCGAAAGCCUGAUGCAGCGACGCCGCGUGAGGGAUGACGGCCUUCGGGUUGUAAACCUCUUUCAGCAGGGAAGAAGCGAAAGUGACGGUACCUGCAGAAGAAGCGCCGGCUAACUACGUGCCAGCAGCCGCGGUAAUACGUAGGGCGCAAGCGUUGUCCGGAAUUAUUGGGCGUAAAGAGCUCGUAGGCGGCUUGUCACGUCGGAUGUGAAAGCCCGAGGCUUAACCUCGGGUCUGCAUUCGAUACGGGCUAGCUAGAGUGUGGUAGGGGAGAUCGGAAUUCCUGGUGUAGCGGUGAAAUGCGCAGAUAUCAGGAGGAACACCGGUGGCGAAGGCGGAUCUCUGGGCCAUUACNUGACGCUGAGGAGCGAAAGCGUGGGGAGCGAACAGGAUUAGAUACCCUGGUAGUCCACGCCGUAAACGU